CGAGUACGACCCGUUACGACGGGGAAGUGUCUGAUGUCAGGCUUCCAAGAAAAGCCCGAACCACGUUAAUUCAAAUUGGCCCGUACCCUAAACCGACACAGGUGGGAAGGUAGAGUAUACCCAGGGGCGCGAGAUAACUCUCUCUAAGGAACUCGGCAAAAUGGCCCCGUAACUUCGGGAGAAGGGGUGCCACCGAGAGGUGGUCGCAGUGAAGAGUCCCAGGCGACUGUUUACCAAAAACACAGGUCUCCGCUAAGUCGCAAGACGAUGUAUGGGGGCUGACGCCUGCCCAGUGCCGGAAGGUUAAGGAAGUUGGUCAGGGAGCAAUCCUGAAGCUAGCGACUGAAGCCCCGGUGAACGGCGGCCGUAACUAUAACGGUCCUAAGGUAGCGAAAUUCCUUGUCGGGUAAGUUCCGACCCGCACGAAAGGCGUAACGAUCUGGGAGCUGUCUCGGAGAGAGGCUCGGCGAAAUAGGAAUGUCUGUGAAGAUACGGACUACCUGCACCCGGACAGAAAGACCCUAUGAAGCUUUACUGUAGCUUGGUAUUGGGUUCGGGCUUUGAUUGCGCAGGAUAGGUGGGAGACUAUGAGAUAGCUCUUGUGGGAGUUAUGGAGUCACUGGUGAGAUACCACUCUAUCAAGGCUAGAAUUCUAACUUUGACCCGUUAUCCGGGCAGAGAACAGUAUCAGGUGGGCAGUUUGACUGGGGCGGUCGCCUCCUAAAUGGUAACGGAGGCGCGCAAAGGUUCCCUCAGGCUGGUUGGAAAUCAGCCAUUGAGUGUAAAGGCAUAAGGGAGCUUGACUGCGAGACUGACAAGUCGAGCAGGUACGAAAGUAGGCCUUAGUGAUCCGACGGUUCCGCGUGGAAGGGCCGUCGCUCAACGGAUAAAAGUUACUCUAAGGAUAACAGGCUGACCUCCCCCAAGAGUUCACAUCGACGGGGAGGUUUGGCACCUCGAUGUCGGCUCAUCGCAACCUGGGGCUGUAGUCGGUCCCAAGGGUUGGGCUGUUCGCCCAUUAAAGCGGUACGUGAGCUGGGUUCAGAACGUCGUGAGACAGUUCGGUCCAUAUCCGGUGCAGGCGUAGGAACAUUGAGAGGAGUCUUCCUUAGUACGAGAGGACCGGGAAGAACGCACCGCUGGUGUACCUGUUAUCGUGCCAACGGUAAACGCAGGGUAGCCAAGUGCGGAGAGGAUAACCGCUGAAAGCAUCUAAGUGGGAAGCCCACCUCAAGAUGAGUGUUCCCAUGGCAAAAGCCAGUAAGGUCACGGGUAGACCACCCGUUAAUAGGCGCUAGAUGGAAGUCCAGCAAUGGAUGUAGUCGAGGCGUACUAACAGACCGAGGGCUUG
RNAcentral lists this ribosomal RNA (1351 nucleotides) under metagenome. Its description in RNAcentral is "bacterial LSU rRNA". It matches the Rfam family "Bacterial large subunit ribosomal RNA", at positions 1564 to 2925 of the family's 2925-position model. The record is from RNAcentral.